This 955-nucleotide ribosomal RNA is filed under the name Triticum aestivum (bread wheat). RNAcentral describes it as "partial small subunit ribosomal RNA". The record is from RNAcentral. Lineage: Eukaryota; Viridiplantae; Streptophyta; Magnoliopsida; Poales; Poaceae.
AUCGCAAAAUCAUCACCGGUGGAAACCCUACCGAAAAUAUCCUCCAAUUUUUGCCGUCAUUCGCGGAAAGGAAGGAGAUAGCGGCUGCGUCGGUGCCGAAUUCCUUGCCUGCGUGGCCGCGCCCACAAUUCGGGAUGCUCGAGGGCGAUGUCGUGUCCGGCGUCGAUCUACCCCGCUAUGCUCGUUGAGUAUGUGGUGCCGCUGUCCUUGAAGGCAUACGUCCUAGCCAUGGUGAUGGGGGCUGCAUGGGCCGUUGCCAUUGAUGGCAGGCGCUGUGGCCGGGAAACGGCGGCUGCGCGUGCUACGGUGACGGUGGGUCGGGAGACGGCCUCCGCGCUGAAGACGGAGGCUGAGCGGUUUCUAUGUGCUGGAGUUUGCUCCGGCGGCAUGGAGAGGAGCUGCAGCCGGCGCAUCGCAAAGGGAUGGAGGCCCCCUUCAUCCAGUCACCGAUUAUAUGUGGACUUACAGUUUGGUCGAUGAGGAUGGCGUGAAAGAUGGCUGCUCCACUCCGGGUAUGUUUGAUACGAGCAUACAAAACCUUUGCCGUUGCGUCCCAACCUCUACUGUAUAUAUGAAUGGAUAAAAUGUUGCCUGUCGAUCGGCGGUGGAGGGCCAAUGGGAGUGGGAACGAAGUUCACAGGCGGUGGUGCCAUGACCCUCUUCGAGCCAGGACGGCCCAUCCUGGGUCCCAUCGCCAUGAGCGCCAAGACUCUAUUCCUCUUCAACACGACUCAUGGUUCAGAACGCAGAAUGUUUUUUAUAGCAUGGUAUAUGGCGGGAAAUAGAAGCACUGGAAUUUUGUAUUGGCAUGGUAUAUAGACGUAUAUUGACUGAUCUGACUAUUUUCAUUUUCAUUGGCGUGAAGUAAAUCAUGGUGAUAGAAAAAGGAAGUGAUUGAAAGAAGGAAGGAGAUUGAUCACCGUUUGAUUGAAAGAAGGGAUGAGAUUGAUCACCG